This is a long non-coding RNA of Tarenaya hassleriana, 442 nucleotides long. RefSeq lists it as uncharacterized. The transcript is spliced from 3 exons. The record is from RefSeq and is a predicted model, not a curated record. NCBI's taxonomy places the organism in Eukaryota, Viridiplantae, Streptophyta, Magnoliopsida, Brassicales, Cleomaceae.
CAGGAACCAUCUCUAAACUGUGGCAGCCACGCAAAUUCACAACCUUCAAGCUCUCAGCCACCUGAAAGCCAGAAAGAAUUCUUGUUGUGACUUGUCUUAUUCUACUUUCUGAAAGAUCAAGAACAGAGAGUUGCCCUCCAUGGAAAUCUGAAGGAAGCUUUUCCAAAGGGCAUCCUUUCCACUGUAACCACUUGAGUUCAGGCCGGCGUUUUCUAAAUCUCGUCCUCAGGUAAUCAAACACUGAGCAGAUGUUGGGCUUGGCCUGGAGUUUCCUCAAUGCUAUUUCAUCCGCACUCGGGUCUCUCACAAACUUCUUCUUGAAAUCAAAUACAAUCCCAUGGAUGGAUCUUGUUCCCUGCUAUUCCAGUACAGAGUCAAAACACAAAUGUUAAAAAAAAACGUUAUUCAUCAAUCUAAUUGCUCAUACCUCUCUCUUCCUCAA